AGUCGUGCGAGAAAGUAUCUUCGGAUAUGAGUAGAGCGGCGGACGGGUGAGUAACGCGUAGGAAUCUACCUAGUAGAAGGGGAUAGCCCGGGGAAACCCGGAUUAAUACCGUAUACCUCCUUCGGGAGAAAGAAGGCCUCUCUUUGAAGCUUUCGCUACUAGAUGAGCCUGCGUAAGAUUAGCUUGUUGGUGAGGUAAAGGCUCACCAAGGCGACGAUCUUUAGCUGGUCUGAGAGGACGAUCAGCCACAUUGGGACUGAGACACGGCCCAGACUCCUACGGGAGGCAGCAGUGGGGAAUAUUGGACAAUGGGCGCAAGCCUGAUCCAGCCAUACCGCGUGUGUGAAGAAGGCCUUCGGGUUGUAAAGCACUUUAAGCAGGGAGAAAAAGUUAUAAGUUAAUACCUUAUAACCCUGAUGUUACCUGCAGAAUAAGCACCGGCUAAUUCCGUGCCAGCAGCCGCGGUAAUACGGAAGGUGCAAGCGUUAAUCGGAAUUACUGGGCGUAAAGCGCGCGUAGGUGGUUUGUUAAGUUGGAUGUGAAAGCCCCUGGGCUCAACCUAGGAACUGCAUCCAAAACUAACUCACUAGAGUACGAUAGAGGGAGGUAGAUUUCAUAGUGUAGCGGUGGAAUGCGUAGAUAUUAUGAAGAAUACCAGUGGCGAAAGCGGCCUCCCUGAUCUGUACUGACACUGAGGUGCGAAAGCGUGGGUAGCGAACAAGAUUAGAAUACCCUGGUAGUCCACGCCG
Molecule: ribosomal RNA, 749 nt
Filed under: uncultured marine bacterium
Lineage: Bacteria
Description: bacterial SSU rRNA
Rfam family: Bacterial small subunit ribosomal RNA
Source: RNAcentral